GAUGAACGCUGGCGGCGUGCCUAAUACAUGCAAGUCGAGCGAACGGACGAGAAGCUUGCUUCUCUGAUGUUAGCGGCGGACGGGUGAGUAACACGUGGAUAACCUACCUAUAAGACUGGGAUAACUUCGGGAAACCGGAGCUAAUACCGGAUAAUAUUUUGAACCGCAUGGUUCAAAAGUGAAAGACGGUCUUGCUGUCACUUAUAGAUGGAUCCGCGCUGCAUUAGCUAGUUGGUAAGGUAACGGCUUACCAAGGCAACGAUGCAUAGCCGACCUGAGAGGGUGAUCGGCCACACUGGAACUGAGACACGGUCCAGACUCCUACGGGAGGCAGCAGUAGGGAAUCUUCCGCAAUGGGCGAAAGCCUGACGGAGCAACGCCGCGUGAGUGAUGAAGGUCUUCGGAUCGUAAAACUCUGUUAUUAGGGAAGAACAUAUGUGUAAGUAACUGUGCACAUCUUGACGGUACCUAAUCAGAAAGCCACGGCUAACUACGUGCCAGCAGCCGCGGUAAUACGUAGGUGGCAAGCGUUAUCCGGAAUUAUUGGGCGUAAAGCGCGCGUAGGCGGUUUUUUAAGUCUGAUGUGAAAGCCCACGGCUCAACCGUGGAGGGUCAUUGGAAACUGGAAAACUUGAGUGCAGAAGAGGAAAGUGGAAUUCCAUGUGUAGCGGUGAAAUGCGCAGAGAUAUGGAGGAACACCAGUGGCGAAGGCGACUUUCUGGUCUGUAACUGACGCUGAUGUGCGAAAGCGUGGGGAUCAAACAGGAUUAGAUACCCUGGUAGUCCACGCCGUAAACGAUGAGUGCUAAGUGUUAGGGGGUUUCCGCCCCUUAGUGCUGCAGCUAACGCAUUAAGCACUCCGCCUGGGGAGUACGACCGCAAGGUUGAAACUCAAAGGAAUUGACGGGGACCCGCACAAGCGGUGGAGCAUGUGGUUUAAUUCGAAGCAACGCGGAGAACCUUACCAAAUCUUGACAUCCUUUGACAACUCUAGAGAUAGAGCCUUCCCCUUCGGGGGGGCAAAGUGACAGGUGGUGCAUGGUUGUCGUCAGCUCGUGUCGUGAGAUGUUGGGUUAAGUCCCGCAACGAGCGCAACCCUUAAGCUUAGUUGCCAUCAUUAAGUUGGGCACUCUAAGUUGACUGCCGGUGACAAACCGGAGGAAGGUGGGGAUGACGUCAAAUCAUCAUGCCCCUUAUGAUUUGGGCUACACACGUGCUACAAUGGACAAUACAAAGGGCAGCGAAACCGCGAGGUCAAGCAAAUCCCAUAAAGUUGUUCUCAGUUCGGAUUGUAGUCUGCAACUCGACUACAUGAAGCUGGAAUCGCUAGUAAUCGUAGAUCAGCAUGCUACGGUGAAUACGUUCCCGGGUCU
This 1373-nucleotide ribosomal RNA is filed under the name uncultured bacterium. RNAcentral describes it as "bacterial SSU rRNA". It matches the Rfam family "Bacterial small subunit ribosomal RNA", at positions 28 to 1381 of the family's 1533-position model. The record is from RNAcentral.